Molecule: transfer RNA, 122 nt
Filed under: Daldinia eschscholtzii
Lineage: Eukaryota; Fungi; Ascomycota; Sordariomycetes; Xylariales; Hypoxylaceae
Description: tRNA-Lys
Rfam family: tRNA
About the family: Transfer RNA (tRNA) molecules are approximately 80 nucleotides in length. Their secondary structure includes four short double-helical elements and three loops (D, anti-codon, and T loops).
Source: RNAcentral
GCCUUGGUAGCUCAAUUGGCUAGAGCGUGGGACUUUUAAAAAAAUAUUAUUCACCGGAGUCCUCCGGAGAAACACUUAACAGAGGUAUCCCAAGGUUGCGGGUUCGACCCCCGCCUGAGGCG